This 2298-nucleotide ribosomal RNA is filed under the name Apherusa glacialis. RNAcentral describes it as "partial 18S ribosomal RNA". It matches the Rfam family "Eukaryotic small subunit ribosomal RNA". The record is from RNAcentral. Lineage: Eukaryota; Metazoa; Arthropoda; Malacostraca; Amphipoda; Calliopiidae.
UGCGUUGUGGGUGCAAGCUUACGCGCACGGCGAGACCGCGGACGGCUCAUUAAAUCAGUCGUGGUCCAGAUGGGCUAGUGUUAUCUUACUUGGAUAACUGUGGUAAUUCCAGAGCUAAUACAUGCAACUGAAGGCUCGAUCGGUCGAGGGGCAACUCUCGGCUGUGACGGCUGCUUUUAUUAGACCAAACCGCUAUUGGCUUCGGCCCUUAGACCCGUGUUAUGGUGACUCUGAAUAACACCACUUGACAAGCGCACGUAUCCACUCGUUGGGACGGCGCUGCCACUUUCGAGUGUCUGCCUUAUCAGCUAUGUAUCGUUCGUUAUGUGCGACCGAUGGCUUUGACGGGUAACGGGGAAUCAGAGUUCGAUUCCGGAGAGGCAGCCUGAGAAACGGCUACCACGUCCAAGGACGGCAGCAGGCACGCAAAUUACCCAAUCCCAGCAACUGGGGGAGGUAGUGACGAAAUCUAACGAUGCGGGCGCCCCUUCUGGGGCCCCGCAAUCGGAAUGAGCAUUCUCUUUCUAAACACCCUGUUGAGAACCUACUGAAGGGCAAGUCUGGUGCCAGCAGCCGCGGUAAUUCCAGCUUCAGCAGCAUAUACUAAUGUUGCUGCGGUUAAAAGGCUCGCAGUUGAAUGUCAGUAUCGAGCGUAGCGAUGGUGGACGUUGGGGUUUGUCUGGUGGAAUGCGGUGUAUUCUCCUUUGGGGGCCUCACGGUUUUCUUUGGUGUUUCCUGUGUGAAGCUGGGCAAGCUUAAGCCCCCGUCCGUGUCAAGCCUCCUCGCUCGUGUACAAAGUGGAAAUUUCUGUCCAUGGGAUGAGUGCUGGGGGGUGCGUGUCCUAUCCUGGGUGCAAACUUCUCGGUGUGAUUCCCUUGAGUUUCCAAAGGCACCUUGAGUAAAUCAGAGUGCUCAAAGCAGUCGUAAGGAGGGUUCGGUUCUGCCGCGCCCUCCGUGAUGAAUGUCAUUGUGACAGACGGUCUUGGUUUUGCAUGGUAUGUCGAAAGACGCCGCCGCUGUUGGUAACGGGUCUGGUGCGGGGUUGUGUUAUCUUUGCUUUAUUGCGGGGGUGGCUUGGCCAUUUACAAAGACCAACAGUUGCGGAAUGAUUAAGAGGAACGGUCGAGGGCAUUGGUAUUGCGAGGCGAGAGGUGAAAUUCUAUGACCCCCGCAAGACCUCCUGAAGCGAAAGCGUCUGCCAAGGACGUUUUCAUUAAUCAUGAACGAAAGUUAGAGGAUCGAAGGCGAUCAGAUACCGCCCUAGUUCUAACCCUAAACGAUGCCAACCAUCAAUCCGCGCGUAGCACCCUUUCUAACGGGCUCGGCGGGCAGCUCCCCUCUCACGGGAAACCAGAGUCUCUGGGUUCCGGGGGGAGUCUGGUUGCAAAGCUGAAACUUAAAGGAAUUGACGGAAAGGCACCACCAGGCGUGGAGCCUGCGGCUUAAUUUGACUCAACACGGGCCAUCUCACCAGGCCAGCACUCUUGUAUGAUUGACAGAUUGAGAGUUCUUUCUCGAUUCAGUGGAUGGUGGUGCAUGGCCGUUCUUAGUUGGUGGAGUGAUCUGUCUGGUUAAUUCCGAUAACGAACGAGACUCUCCCCUGCUAAAUAGUCGGUUGGAUCUUGAUUCGAGAGUGCCGAAGCGUGUUGUUAAGGUGGAGUCGCGAUUACCUGGUGUGUGCCGCGUUAACGCGUGUGUGCCUCUGGGGACGUUGUGUUCUCGCCUGGCCUCGUUGGUUGCACUCCAAGUCCGCCGCUUGCCCGGCUGCGGAUGCGUUUCGCGCGUGUUCGUGGUGGGCAAAACUCUUCUUAGAGGGAUUGACGGUUCUGAAGCCGUAAGAGACUGAGAGCAAUAACAGGUCUGUGAUGCCCUUAGAUGUUCUGGGCCGCACGCGCGCUACAAUGCCGGGCUCAGCAGGUGUUUGUCCUUCUCCGAGAGGAGUGGGUAACCCUCUGAAAGCCCUUUAAACACUUUCGGUGCUGCGUCGGAUUCCUUGUGUUUUCGGCGUGGCCUAUUGGCUUGCUUGGGCCUGGGGCUUGCAAUUCUUUCCCACAAACGAGGAAUGCCUAGUAGCGGCGGAUCACUGAGUUCGCUGUGACUCAGUCCCUGCCCUUUGUACACACCGCCCGUCGCUACUACCGAUUGGGUGUACCAGUGAGAUCCUUGGACUGGCGAGCCUUGCUUACUGCUCACGCGGCGAGCAAGUGUGUACGACGGAAAGAGGCUCGAACUGGUGCACUUAGAGGAAGUAAAAGUCGUAACAAGGUUCCCGUAGGUGAACCUUCGGGAGGAUCAUAA